UGGGGAAUAUUGCACAAUGGGCGCAAGCCUGAUGCAGCCAUGCCGCGUGUAUGAAGAAGGCCUUCGGGUUGUAAAGUACUUUCAGUCGGGAGGAAGGCGUUAAGGUUAAUAACCUUGGCGAUUGACGUUACCCGCAGAAGAAGCACCGGCUAACUCCGUGCCAGCAGCCGCGGUAAUACGGAGGGUGCAAGCGUUAAUCGGAAUUACUGGGCGUAAAGCGCACGCAGGCGGUCUGUCAAGUCGGAUGUGAAAUCCCCGGGCUCAACCUGGGAACUGCAUUCGAAACUGGCAGGCUAGAGUCUUGUAGAGGGGGGUAGAAUUCCAGGUGUAGCGGUGAAAUGCGUAGAGAUCUGGAGGAAUACCGGUGGCGAAGGCGGCCCCCUGGACAAAGACUGACGCUCAGGUGCGAAAGCGUGGGGAGCAAACAGG
This 429-nucleotide ribosomal RNA is filed under the name Chloroflexota bacterium. Its description in RNAcentral is "Chloroflexi bacterium partial 16S ribosomal RNA". It matches the Rfam family "Bacterial small subunit ribosomal RNA", at positions 355 to 776 of the family's 1533-position model. The record is from RNAcentral. Lineage: Bacteria; Bacillati; Chloroflexota.